UUCGCAAUGCCCGAAAGGGUGAUGAUGCGACGCCACGUGGAGGAUGAAGGCCUUCGGGUUGUAAACUCCUGUCAUGAGGGAUGAAAUGUGGGGAUGCUAACAGUAUCCUCACUUGACGGUACCUCAAGAGGAAGCCACGGCUAACUCCGUGCCAGCAGCCGCGGUAAUACGGAGAUGGCAAGCGUUGCUCGGAUUUACUGGGCAUAAAGCGCACGUAGGCGGGCCCACAAGUCGGUUGUGAAAUCCUGGGGCUUAACCCCAGAACUGCGGCCGAUACUAUGGGCCUUGAGGGUGAGAGGGGAGAGUGGAACUUCUGGUGGAGCGGUGAAAUGCGUAGAUAUCAGAAGGAACACCGGUGGCGAAAGCGACUCUCUGGUUCACUACUGACGCUGAGGUGCGAAAGCCCCGGGGAGCAAACGGGAUUAGAUACCCCGGUAGUCCUAGCCGUAAACGAUGGGCACUAAGUAGAGGGGUU
Molecule: ribosomal RNA, 475 nt
Filed under: uncultured bacterium
Lineage: Bacteria
Description: bacterial SSU rRNA
Rfam family: Bacterial small subunit ribosomal RNA
Source: RNAcentral